Molecule: ribosomal RNA, 465 nt
Filed under: uncultured bacterium
Lineage: Bacteria
Description: partial 16S ribosomal RNA
Rfam family: Bacterial small subunit ribosomal RNA
Source: RNAcentral
CCUACGGGGGGCAGCAGUGGGGAAUUUUGCGCAAUGCUCGUAAGAGUGACGCAGCGACGCCGCGUGAAUGACGAAGGCCUUCGGGUCGUAAAGUUCUUUCGACAGGGAAGAAAAUGCAUAUAAGUAACUGUGUAUGUAUUUACGGUACCUGUAUAAGCAGCCCAGGCUAACUCCAUCCCAGCAGCCGCGGUAAUACGGAGGGGGCGAGCGUUGUUCGGUGGGACUGGGCGUAAAGGGCACGCAGGCGGUGUUGUAAGUCAUUAGUCAAAGACUAGAGCUCAACUUUAGUAAGGCUAGUGAUACUAUAAUACUAGAGUAUCAGAGAGGAUUGCAGAAUUCCUGGUGUAGCGGUGAAAUGCGUAGAUAUCAGGAGGAAUACCGUUAGCGAAGGCGGCAAUCUGGCUGGAAACUGACGCUGAGGUGCGAAAGCGUGGGUAGCAAACAGGAUUAGAUACCCCUGUAGUC